UAAGGAAUAUUGCUCAAUGGGAGAAAUCCUGAAGCAGCAACGCCGCGUGGAGGAUGAAGGGUCUAUGACUUGUAAACUCCUGUAAAGAAGGAAAAAAUUCCCAUUAGAUGGGAGAUGAUGGUACUUCUGGAGUAAGCCCCGGCUAACUACGUGCCAGCAGCCGCGGUAAUACGUAGGGGGCAAGCGUUGUCCGGAUUUACUGGGUGUAAAGGGUGCUCAGGCGGAUUUGUAAGUCAGAGGUGAAAUCUUACAGCUUAACUGUGAAACAGCCUUUGAUACUGCAAGCCUAGAGUAUGGAAGAGAGUGAUGGAAUAUCUGGUGUAGCAGUGAAAUGCGUAGAUAUCAGAUAGAACACCAAUGGCGAAGGCAGUCACUUGGUCCAUUACUGACGCUAAAGCACGAAAGCGUGGGUAGCAAACA
RNAcentral lists this ribosomal RNA (420 nucleotides) under uncultured bacterium. RNAcentral describes it as "bacterial SSU rRNA". It matches the Rfam family "Bacterial small subunit ribosomal RNA", at positions 355 to 774 of the family's 1533-position model. The record is from RNAcentral.